CACUCACUCUCUCCCCACCGCAUCACCGGCCUCCUCUUCUCCGACGCGACGACGGCGCCUGCAUGGCUGCAUCUCCGCUGCUAGCUCUGGCUUUUGGGCUGACCUCCGCAUCUUCAAACCCCACCUUUUCCCGCCCACUCUCUCCCCCUAACAUCCGCUCACUCUCUCCCCGUCCUCUUCCCGCCGCGUCGCCGGCCUCCCCCUCUCCCCCACGACGGCGGCGCCCGCAUCUCCGCCGCUAGCUCUGGCCUUUGGGCCGACCUCCACGUCUUGAAACCCCAAUCCCUUCCAGUUUGAGCCAGCCCCGAUCUCAUCCCUGCCGCCUCCAUCUUCGCUGUAGACAGCCCCACCCUCAUCCGCUCCGGUCUCGUACGCGACGUGAUGCUCCAUCCAUUGGUACGCGGCGGCGGUGGUUCGGUCCCGGAGGCGUCUCAGUAUCGUCAGGCCCGGCGCGGAGCAGGCGUUCAAGAUCGAACUCUCCGACGCGGAGAUAUGCGGACCGAGUGGCUGUGCGUGAGGGCAAGAUGGAGGCUAAAGGCUGGCGUGGAGGAGUGACUUUGCUGAAAUUUUUAACGCCGACUGGUUCAUCUCAUUUCUAUCAAAGGAUGUAAGGAUUGUGAAUGGGCUUCCAAAGAUAGGAGCGCGGGAUAGUGCUUGACAUAUACAGCAAGAUUUAGAGACGAAGUUAUACCUGGAGGUUGCUAUUCAUCAGAUCGUGCCAAAGUACUUCAAGAUGGCUACUGGUUUGUGAUCUGAUUUUUUGAAUGGACUUUCCUAUAUAUGAUAUUGCAAAUAGUUUUCUGGUCAGACUGAGUUUCCUAUGGAAGUAUACUAAGCACACCUGAUGUUCACACUUGAUUUUGCUUAGCACAAGAGAUCUACCCCAGCACCGCUUCCCCAUCUCUGGUGGUUCCUUUGGCUUCCUCCAUGGCUGCUGAGAAGAUGGGUCACCAAUUUGCACCACUGUACCUCAUGGCCAAUUUGCACCAGCAUUAACGAGGUCGCAGCCGAGGCCGUCCGUCGUCGUGCCAGGCUCAAUUUGGAGGACACCAAGGGUCGUAUACCUAUUGAUCUUCUCUCUUGCCCUGUAUCACAGGCUAAUUAAUGGGUAUUCUCCCAAUUCAGUUGCAACGGAAGUCUUCAGCUGGGGAAGUGGAUCAAACUAUCAACUGGGAACUGGCAAUGCCCACAUAUUAGAUACUGCAUGACUGCUUAUCUCUGAAUAUCCGGAUGUCCAAGACGACCAACAUUGUGCCAGGCUAAAGUUUAUGUCGUCCUGAGAUGUAAUCCAUCAGGAGCCGUUUUGAUCGACUAAAGUUUAUUAUGUCCAGGUCAUGACACAAACACAUGUGUAGACCCGCCUUGUUUUGAUCGUCUAAAGUUUACUACGUCCAGGUCCCGGAUGAGACCUAGGCAGCAUACCUGAGAUUAAAAGCGCACUGCCCUCGGAGGGCGGCGACGGCGUCUCCCGGAGUUCGGCGGCGGCGGCGAUCCCGAACGUCGGCGGCGACAGGGGAUCAAACCGCCCCGACCUGGAGACGCGGAUCAAACCGCCCCGCCCUGGAGACGCGGCGGCAAACCGCCCCGACCUGGAGACGCGGCGGCGGCGUCUCCCCUCGGACGGCGGCUUAGGUACGAAUCGAAGUUCGUCCGUGGUCGGCUGCAAGGGUCGGCGGCAGGGAGAUCGUAGACGGGGCGGCGGCGAAGGACGUCGUACGUACUGAGGGACUUCGAUGUCUCGUAGGGACGGGAAUCGUGAGG
Molecule: ribosomal RNA, 1761 nt
Filed under: Triticum aestivum (bread wheat)
Lineage: Eukaryota; Viridiplantae; Streptophyta; Magnoliopsida; Poales; Poaceae
Description: partial small subunit ribosomal RNA
Source: RNAcentral